GAGGCUAAGGAGGGUACUGCGAGGAGGGCGGCUGAGAAGGCAAAGGAUGAAGCUGCCAAGCAAAGGCUCGCAAGAGUGCAAGGGAAAUCUCUAAACUUCCUUGUCGGGAGGGAGAAGGUCCUGGCCCCGACGUUGGUUGAGGCUCUACCAGCCGAGAUCCAAAGCACUAUUUAGAGCUUCCACAAAUUCUGGACGGACCGG
Molecule: long non-coding RNA, 201 nt
Filed under: Olea europaea (common olive)
Lineage: Eukaryota; Viridiplantae; Streptophyta; Magnoliopsida; Lamiales; Oleaceae
Description: long non-coding RNA (OEUR_LNC001078)
Source: RNAcentral